CUUUUUCACAAUUUCACCAACAAAUUCGAAAAACAUCAUUCCGUUUUAAUUUUGAAGAGGAAGUUAUCCAUGAAAACUUUUGAGAUUACGAAAGACAUUAACAGAAGACAUAAUUAAUAUAAUAUUACAUAUCAAUACUUCCCUAAAUCAUAUUAAUUGAAAGAAGAUAUUUUGUUUUAGCCCUAUCCUUGUUGAGUUUUAAGUUCUCUUGUUCUGCUCGUGUAAAUUAAAUCUUUCUGGUCGAGUGUCUUAUAACCAAACGAUCAAAUCUCAUUGUAUAAAAAAACUCGCAUUAUGUGUCAAAGGGAAGAUAGAUUUAAAUCUACACAACAAAUCUUCGUACUUUUUUUUACCUUUUACGAAUUUUUUUGAUUCGAGAGUCACUGAUGUAUCCUUUACAGACGAAAAGCGCGUCCGCUGUACAUAACGUUUUAUAAGAGGUCGGUCAUUUAAAGACGUAACAACCGUAUCAUAUAUGUUUACGUAUACGUAUCUGCAGAUAUACAAAAAAAAGUAUGUGAUCUCUAAUGCAAGUAUUGGUUGUUCUUUAGGUUCGUGUUUAAAAUAUUGUAUUUAUGUAAUAUUUACAAAAUGUGCUUUGGUAGGCUUGUUGGUUUCCAAGAACAAGACUAAAGGAAACCGAAUACUCACUGUUCAGAAUAUUUUUCUGUAUUUUCUUAUAUUUUCACUUUUUUUUUACUGAGUUUUAUAACAAUUAAGUAUUAUCCCAUCUACGCAUUAUUUACAUUAGUUUCUUCUGUCUUUAUAGAUGUUCCUUGUUGAUUCCGCUGUGUAUGCUUAAAAAUACAUACAUUAGAAUAUGUGUCGAAUCAUCAAGAUGACGUUGGUUGUAGUGAUUUUACAGACAUUCUAAGAUUCAUUAGUGUAUUUAAUGAACUUGUAUCACAGCCAGGAAUUUCAUUACCUGUUGCUCUUGUUGUAUCGAACACAUACUAUUUAUUUCCAAUGUUGUAUACUAAAAUUUUAUUGAUUUCGUGGCAUUACAAGCAUUUAUUCUUUAAAUAAUACAUCUAUUUAUUUGUAUAUAGAACUUAAUAUUUGAGAACACUGUAUUUGAAUAUCAAUAUAAUUCAAGUUAUAUAAGCUAUAUAAGUCGUACCACAUCUCCACAUUAUUAUAAGGAAGGAAUUUAUUAAU
This 1158-nucleotide long non-coding RNA is filed under the name Mytilus galloprovincialis (Mediterranean mussel). Lineage: Eukaryota; Metazoa; Mollusca; Bivalvia; Mytilida; Mytilidae. The record is from RNAcentral.